RNAcentral lists this ribosomal RNA (460 nucleotides) under uncultured bacterium. Its description in RNAcentral is "partial 16S ribosomal RNA". It matches the Rfam family "Bacterial small subunit ribosomal RNA", at positions 338 to 795 of the family's 1533-position model. The record is from RNAcentral.
CCUACGGGCGGCUGCAGUGAGGAAUAUUGGUCAAUGGGCGCGAGCCUGAACCAGCCAAGUCGCGUGAAGGAUGACUGCCCUACGGGUUGUAAACUUCUUUUAUAAAGGAAUAAAGUGAGGCACGGGUGCCUUUUUGAAUGUACUUUAUGAAUAAGGAUCGGCUAACUCCGUGCCAGCAGCCGCGGUAAUACGGAGGAUUCGAGCGUUAUCCGGAUUUAUUGGGUUUAAAGGGAGCGUAGAUGGGUUGUUAAGUCAGUUGUGAAAGUUUGCGGCUCAACCGUAAAAGUGCAAAUGAUACUGGCAGUCUUGAGUGCAGUUGAGGUAGGCGGAAUUCGUGGUGUAGCGGUGAAAUACUUAGAGAUCACGAAGAACUCCGAUUGCGAAGGCAGCUUACUAAGCUGCCACUGACAUUGAUGCUCGAAAGUGUGGGUAUCAAACAGGAUUAGAUACCCCUGUAGUC